This 577-nucleotide long non-coding RNA is filed under the name Homo sapiens (human). Its description in RNAcentral is "non-protein coding lnc-HEPACAM-1:1". The record is from RNAcentral. Lineage: Eukaryota; Metazoa; Chordata; Mammalia; Primates; Hominidae.
CAGUGGGAUACCUGUGAGCAGAGGCCUGGGCUGGAAGGCUUGGGAGGGCAAGCUGGGGCGGGGCUGGCCCUAAAUGGGAGGCCAGGAAGGUGGGCAAAGCAGAAGGGGGCAAGAGUGAUAAGGGAGAGAGAAGAGGCCUGGGCCCUGCUCCGUGUCACCUUCCAUCCUCCCCACAGUCCUCCGGGAGGAUUUCCAGAUCCAGCCUCGGGACAUGGUGGCUGUGGUGGGUGAGCAGUUUACUCUGGAAUGUGGGCCGCCCUGGGGCCACCCAGAGCCCACAGUCUCAUGGUGGAAAGAUGGGAAACCCCUGGCCCUCCAGCCCGGAAGGCACACAGUGUCCGGGGGGUCCCUGCUGAUGGCAAGAGCAGAGAAGAGUGACGAAGGGACCUACAUGUGUGUGGCCACCAACAGCGCAGGACAUAGGGAGAGCCGCGCAGCCCGGGUUUCCAUCCAGGAGCCCCAGGACUACACGGAGCCUGUGGAGCUUCUGGCUGUGCGAAUUCAGCUGGAAAAUGUGACACUGCUGAACCCGGAUCCUGCAGAGGGCCCCAAGCCUAGACCGGCGGUGUGGCUCAGC